Long non-coding RNA from Fukomys damarensis (Damara mole-rat), 2139 nucleotides. NCBI's taxonomy places the organism in Eukaryota, Metazoa, Chordata, Mammalia, Rodentia, Bathyergidae. The record is from Ensembl.
GAGGGGACGGGGGGCGGGUAGGACGCCGUCGUGUGCUUCCCGGCGACGUCUCCCGGGAGGCGCAGUUCCUUGCGCCGGGCGCGUCUCCGCGGGCCUCACCUGCAGCGCCUCGGGAGCCCAGGCCUCCUGUCCCUGCGACUAGGGGACGGGCUGCGUGGAGCGGGAAAGCGGUGUGGAGAGCAUAGCCCAAGACAAUGUCAACGUGUGAAACCUGAUAUGUAACCCCCAAGAGUGAAGUGUGAUAUCUAAUCAAACAGAUUGAAUGUGUGACACCCUGUGACGUGUGCAACCCCAAUAGCUAAUCAUACAGCCCCAAUAUGUACGAAGUGAUAAACCCGAACUAGUGCCACACACCCCAAGUUAGAAUAGUAUAAGAGAGAGAGAGAGAGAGAGCAGAAGACCAGCUCGUCCCACUGGACGUCGGGUCCAGCUCGCGGACGCUCAGCUAGAUGAGAUCUCAGAGGAGAGCUCGGAUGCCUGCCCGGAGUGGACCCCUGAAUCGAGGAGGUCAUCCGAUCGACAACCGCAAUCACCAGGAAGGGAGAAACCAAGCCGCGCUCCUCGGACUUGUGCAGCUCUAAUUUUUGUCCAUUGCCAAGCCCAGGGUACGUCCAGAAAGCCUCAGGAACCUCAGGAAAAGCCCGGGAGAGCCCCUGUGCAAGAGCUGAUCAUCAAGCGCCCCGAGGUGAUGGUCUCCGCCCCAUUCAAGGGUCCUGCUUUUCCAAACCACCUGAAGCCAAGGUAGGAGUGGACACCCCUUGCACAGCCUUGCACCACCUUCUGCUUGCAUUUCACAAAAACUGCUCUCCAGAGUACUUCAGAAGCUGGGGCUUUGGAGCCAAUUGCACAUCUUUUUUUUUAAAUUGUUAUUUUUUUCAACCUUUACAUAAAUACAUAAAAAUAUACAUAUUUGUGGGCUAUGUGAUAUUUUGUUACCCAAAUAAGUUGUAGAAUGUGUCAAUCAGGUUAAACAUCUCUACCGUGAACAUUUGUGAUCUAUUUCUCUGUAGUGAAAACCUUCAAAAUCCUGUGCUACAGCGCGGUAAGGCUUCUUACUCCACCUGUAACUUAGUGACACUGCUCAACCACUGGUCAAGCUCGCCCGCCCCUCCAACCUCUCUGAUUCUGGUCUGUUAGUGCCGGGGAAAAGAUGCUGUGAUUGACGAAGAAGCAGCAAGGGCCUGGCGCCGUGGUGCGUGCCCGUCGUCACGGAACUCUGGGAGGCCAAAGCGGGAAGAUCGAAGUUUGAGGCCAGCCUGGUCAACUCAGUGAGACCCUGUUUCCGAAAAUCAAGUAUCUCGGGGGUGCAGCUGAGCCACAGAGCGCUUGCUUCACUCGUGUGAGGCCCUGGGUGCGAUCAGAGUGGGGGCGGGGUGGGGUGUAGGUAGACACACAAGAAUUUCAAUGGCUUGAAGACACUUGCCCCAGGACACUCCGUACCCAGGCAGGAGGCCAGCUUCCCCGGGCUUCAGGUUCCGCCCCCAGGGCACCUGGUUUUUAUGAGAUCUACUUGAUUAAGGCAAACAUACCAUUAGCUCUUUCCAGAAGUUUUGGCCAUUCUCUUGGGGGUUUUGUUGUUGCUGUUGUCGUUACUGGGAAUCAAACUUAGGCCCUUGCGCUUGCCGGGCAGGCGGUGGAACCACUGAGCCAAACCCCCGGCCCUCUCUUGGGAUUUUUAAGGCACCCAGACCUCUUCUAGCACUGGAAAUUGCAGCUUUAUGCCUGUCUGAUCGUACCUGGCUAUUCUGUGAGUUUUAAAAAUUGUAACUGGGCACAGUGGCACAUGCCUGUAAUCCCAGCAUUUGGGAAGCUGAGGCAAGAGGACAGUCACAUGUUCAAGGCCACCAUGGGCUACAUGGUGAGUUCAAGGCCAGCCUGAACUACAUAGUGAGACCCUGUCUCAGAAAAGAAAAGAAUAUUUUUUACCACUUUUAAAAAUUGGUACAUUUUAGAUAUACAUAAUGGUAACAUUCAUCAUAGAGGAUUUGUACCUGUACAUGAGGUAUCGUUUUCCCCAUUCCCCUCCCCACUCCUUCCUUCAAAUCCACUUACCCUCAUUUACUAAAGCUUUGUUUCCAUUUUUCCUUUCUCUUUCUCUCUCUCUCUCUCUCCCUCUCCCUCUCUCUCUCUCCACUCCUC